UACAGGGGGUGCAAACGUUGCUCGGAAUCAUUGGGCGUAAAGCGCACGUAGGCGGUUUGUUAUGUCGGAUGUGAAAGCCCUUGGCUCAACUGAGGAAGUGCAUCCGAAACUGGCAAGCUAGAGUACUAAAGAGGGUCGCGGAAUUCCCGGUGUAGAGGUGAAAUCCGUAGAUAUCGGGAGGAACACCGGUGGCGAAGGCGGCGACCUGGGUAGAUACUGACGCUGAGGUGCGAAAGCGUGGGGAGCAAACAGG
RNAcentral lists this ribosomal RNA (253 nucleotides) under uncultured bacterium. RNAcentral's name for it is "partial 16S ribosomal RNA". It matches the Rfam family "Bacterial small subunit ribosomal RNA", at positions 524 to 776 of the family's 1533-position model. The record is from RNAcentral.